Molecule: long non-coding RNA, 520 nt
Organism: Gekko japonicus
Lineage: Eukaryota; Metazoa; Chordata; Lepidosauria; Squamata; Gekkonidae
Exons: 3
Source: RefSeq, a predicted model, not a curated record
CCCCCUGUGUGAACCUGCCAGGAGAGGUGCAAAUCAAACACACACACACACACAUGAUAUGAACAUGAAGCCAUCAAAAGAAAACCCGUUUACUUUGGGACUUGAAUAACCCGAAAACGCACAGGCAGAAUUUCUGGUCGGGGGGACCAGAAGGAACAAACCAACACGUGAAAACAACAACAACAACGGGUAAGAGAUCAAGUUUGACGGAGCAGAGAAUCCACUGAGUUCCAGUUUAGGAGGCACACGGGCCAAUUGCACAUUCCUUGGACAAUAGUUGAACUGGCCAUUAAAAACUCCACCGGAUGGGCCCGGCACAGCGGCAACACUCACCGCAGAAGUUGGGCCACAGCCCGCACGUGCGUUCUAACAGCCUCUGCGGACGACUCCAGAAGAAGCAGGUCGUCGGCCUUGGGGGCGGCCGUAAUUCCGUGGGCACUCUGUGACAUAGCGAGUCGGAAGGAUCGGCCUUGAUUUAGGUGGCCUUUUCUUUACGGUGCGAGACUCUCUCUAAACGUGG